UACGGAGGGUGCGAGCGUUGUCCGGAAUCACUGGGCGUAAAGGGCGCGUAGGCGGCCUGAUAAGUAGGGGGUGAAAUCCUGCGGCUUAACCGCAGGGCUGCCUUCUAAACUGUCAGGCUUGAGCACAGUAGAGGCAGGUGGAAUUCCCGGUGUAGCGGUGGAAUGCGUAGAGAUCGGGAAGAACAUCAGUGGCGAAGGCGGCCUGCUGGGCUGUUGCUGACGCUGAGGCGCGAAGGCGUGGGGGAGCGAACGGG
This 254-nucleotide ribosomal RNA is filed under the name uncultured bacterium. RNAcentral's name for it is "partial 16S ribosomal RNA". It matches the Rfam family "Bacterial small subunit ribosomal RNA", at positions 524 to 776 of the family's 1533-position model. The record is from RNAcentral.